GCCAGCAGCUAGCUCUCGACAACUCUCACAUUAUCGCCCACUAAAGCUACACAAGGCUGUGCCAAGUCAGUACCUGGAUGGGAGACCAGAUGGGAAAGCUAGGUUGCUGCCGGAA
Ribosomal RNA from Danio rerio (zebrafish), 115 nucleotides. Lineage: Eukaryota; Metazoa; Chordata; Actinopteri; Cypriniformes; Danionidae. The record is from Ensembl.